Molecule: ribosomal RNA, 474 nt
Filed under: uncultured bacterium
Lineage: Bacteria
Description: partial 16S ribosomal RNA
Rfam family: Bacterial small subunit ribosomal RNA
Source: RNAcentral
UAGGGAAUCUUCCACAAUGGACGCAAGUCUGAUGGAGCAACGCCGCGUGAGUGAAGAAGGCUUUCGGGUCGUAAAACUCUGUUGUUGGAGAAGAAUGGUCGGCAGAGUAACUGUUGUCGGCGUGACGGUAUCCAACCAGAAAGCCACGGCUAACUACGUGCCAGCAGCCGCGGUAAUACGUAGGUGGCAAGCGUUAUCCGGAUUUAUUGGGCGUAAAGCGAGCGCAGGCGGUUUUUUAAGUCUGAUGUGAAAGCCCUCGGCUUAACCGAGGAAGCGCAUCGGAAACUGGGAAACUUGAGUGCAGAAGAGGACAGUGGAACUCCAUGUGUAGCGGUGAAAUGCGUAGAUAUAUGGAAGAACACCAGUGGCGAAGGCGGCUGUCUGGUCUGUAACUGACGCUGAGGCUCGAAAGCAUGGGUAGCGAACAGGAUUAGAUACCCUGGUAGUCCAUGCCGUAAACGAUGAAUGCUAGGU